This is a long non-coding RNA of Esox lucius (northern pike), 586 nucleotides long. RefSeq lists it as uncharacterized. The transcript is spliced from 4 exons. The record is from RefSeq and is a predicted model, not a curated record. NCBI's taxonomy places the organism in Eukaryota, Metazoa, Chordata, Actinopteri, Esociformes, Esocidae.
UUAAUUUCACGGUGUCUCCUGGAUAAUCAUUGCAUUAAUGAUAUGUAGAAGCAUUUUCGAAGAUAUCAAAAAGACGCAGCGGGAUAUUUUGUACAACCUUCCACCACACAAGGGCAGUAUUGUAUUAUAUUUCGUCUUACUUUUCAGUCCCAUACAAUACCUUUUGGAAAAUCGUUUUAGUUUUUUUACCGCUGAACUUCACCAAGACGAAAAGCUUCAGCAGAAUUCUCAGAUAUUCUCCAGAAGGUACAGCCUAAAGUAGGCCUAGUCUAAAGUCAAAUGCAUCAACAAUGGCACACCCUCUUCUCAUGCCUCUCUUUUUGAUGAGACCCAACGGAACCACUGUGCUGAGGGGAACAAAGACGUCAUCUCUGAGGCGAGUCAACCACAACUACUUGGAGCCACUGGAGCAACAUGGAGACGGCUGUGAAAGGAACAAAAGCAGUUCCGGGAGUAUGAUAGGGGAAGGAGGCCCAGCGAUCCCUUCAAUCAACCAUACCACUCAUCUGACUGUUCACAACAUCAGGUUCUGGGUCUGGGUCGGACCGCGGGGCUCACCAGAGAGACGUCAGGCAGUGCAUCCAAA